This 253-nucleotide ribosomal RNA is filed under the name Gaiella sp. RNAcentral's name for it is "partial 16S ribosomal RNA". It matches the Rfam family "Bacterial small subunit ribosomal RNA", at positions 524 to 776 of the family's 1533-position model. RNAcentral also lists the same sequence under 1 other name. Lineage: Bacteria; Bacillati; Actinomycetota; Thermoleophilia; Gaiellales; Gaiellaceae. The record is from RNAcentral.
UACGUAGGGGGCUAGCGUUGUCCGGAUUUAUUGGGCGUAAAGAGCGCGUAGGCGGCCGAGUAAGUCCGACGUGAAAUCUGGAGGCUCAACCUCCAGCGGUCGUUGGAAACUACUCGGCUAGAGUCCGGAAGAGGAGAGUGGAAUUCCUGGUGUAGCGGUGAAAUGCGCAGAUAUCAGGAAGAACACCGAUGGCGAAAGCAGCUCUCUGGGACGGUACUGACGCUGAGGCGCGAAAGCGUGGGGAGCAAACAGG